ACNCCGGGUGGUAGAAAGCAAAGUACCAG
This 29-nucleotide non-coding RNA is filed under the name Mus musculus (house mouse). The record is from RNAcentral. Lineage: Eukaryota; Metazoa; Chordata; Mammalia; Rodentia; Muridae.